AUCUUUGCGCUUGAGGUAAUGACGCAGCUAGUGAGGUUCUAACUGAGGCGCGUCUAUUGCUGGUUGAAAACUAUUUUCAAACCCUCUCUUCGGCCUAGGUUUUGCCUUGGCCGUUGAGAAUUUUUGGAAGGGCUCCCUUAUCAAGGGUAAAGCC
Non-coding RNA from Solanum tuberosum (potato), 154 nucleotides. NCBI's taxonomy places the organism in Eukaryota, Viridiplantae, Streptophyta, Magnoliopsida, Solanales, Solanaceae. The record is from Rfam.